AAGUUUGAUAAUGACAUAGGAGAGCUAGGAACUCCUCUUUCAAGAGCCUCUUCAGUGCGACGUGCAUUAUCCGUUUUAGAGAUGGAGGUUGAGCAAAUAAAUAAAGGACAUUAUGAGCAUUACAUGCAGAAGGAAAUUCAUGAGCAACCUGAGUCUCUGACAACCACAAUGAGGGGGAGGCUUAUAUGUCGUGGAUCUAGCAAAUCCAAGUCUGUUCUGCUCGGUGGAUUGAAGGAUCACCUUAAAACAAUUAGGCGAAGUAGAAGGAUAGUAUUCAUUGGUUGUGGUACAAGUUAUAAUGCUGCUUUGGCGGCUAGACCUAUCCUGGAAGAACUUUCUGGUCAGUGAUAUAUAAACUUUCUUUUAGUAAGGUUUGCAUAUUAUAAAUAUGCUGAUUUUAAUGUUUUACACUAUACAUUGAACUAUAGGUAUUCCUGUUACUAUGGAAAUUGCUAGUGAUCUGUUGGAUCGGGAGGGCCCAAUAUAUCGCGAAGAUACAGCUGUUUUUGUUAGUCAAUCCGGUGAAACUGCAGACACUUUACUUGCACUGCAAUAUGCUUUAGACAAUGGCGCAUUAUGUGUUGGGAUAACAAACACUGUUGGUAGCGCAAUAGCAAGGAAUACUCACUGUGGUGUUCAUAUAAAUGCUGGAGCUGAGAUUGGUGUGGCAAGUACCAAGGUAAAUGUUGCAUUUAAAGGAUAUCGUUUUCUUUAUUCCAUUUUAUAUUAUCCUAUUGUUGGCUUGACCAGUGGGUUACUCACAUAUUUGUAACUGCUAUAGGCAUACACGAGCCAAAUAGUAGUUAUGGCCAUGGUGGCUCUUGCAAUAGGAGGUGAUACAAUUUCCAAUCAAGGGAGAAGAGAAGCUAUUAUAGAUGGUCUUUUUGACCUGCCAAGUGAGUUUCUGUUGGCUGAGCAUAGUACAGGAUUUGAGUACAUUAUGUGGUGUCUGGUUGAUGGCUAAAAAAGUAAAGAAAUUAUAACUUCCAAGAAUUGCAAACAACUUACAACCAAAGCUAAAACACUUUUUUCUUUUAUGAGAAAUCCACUAAAUGCCACAUAAAGAAGCUCAGUAGCAGUUGAAGAAGUUAUCUAAUUAACAUGUUGUAUUGUAGAUAAAGUCAGAGAGGUGCUGAAGCUUGAUCAGGAGAUGAAGGAUCUUGCACAGCUAUUGAUUGCUGAGCAGUCACUUCUUGUCUUUGGGAGAGGAUACAACUAUGCAACUGCUCUGGAGGGAGCUUUGAAAGUAAAGGAAGUGGCACUUAUGCACAGUGAAGGGAUACUCGCAGGUGAAAUGAAGCAUGGCCCUCUGGCAUUAGUGGAUGAAAAUCUUCCAAUUGUUGUCAUAGCUACCCGCGAUGCUUGCUUCAGGUUGGUUGCUUUGACUGUUGAGUAGCUUUAUGAUCUGAAAUUAGGAGUUCGAUACUGACAUCUUUAAUCUUUCGCAGCAAACAGCAGUCAGUUAUUCAACAACUUUUAAAUUUUAACUACCAAGAGCUUAUAUUAGAUCCCCCCCCCCCGACUUGCCAUUUAUAUAAAAGAAGAAAUACUGUUUAGUAAAGAGAAAGAGAGACAUACGUAGCACAGGAACAAAUAGGAUGUUCUUCAAGUCUUUGAACUGAAAGAUAAAAGAAAAAAACAAGAAAAGAAAGUCAUGAGUUAUUAUUGCUAGUCUCUCAGUAAGCACCCCAAUGAGGCCACUUUUCAACAAAAGAAGCAAUAUUAAAAAUGAUAUCAUUAAAAAUUCUCAGUUCUGCACUCCACUACAACCAUGAGCAUACUGUCAUUACUGUGCUCAUGGAAAAAGAGCCUUUCCCGAUUUCUUCCAACCGAAACAAUUAAAAUCACAUGGGAAAUUGCUCAAAACUCUCUUGACAGCACUUAUCCUAUAGUAGGACAGCGAUUUAAAAAAUUGCUAGUCUCAAAAUCAGAGAAAUACAUGGCGCAAACAUUAGGCGAGUUUUGGAUGGUAUGCUAACCUCUGAAAAAUCAUUUUUAUUAAUUGUAUCUAGCACUGUAGUUCAAAUGAGAGAUUCACUCCUUGAACUUGUAAAAGCUUUAGCUACAGGAAUGUUUUCCUCAUUUGGAAAUUAAGUAACAAACUGAAAAUAAGACCUAAUAGAGUUCACUCCAUUUAUCCAAGUACCAUAUCCUAUUAUCGACCAACGGAGAGGGAUAGUCAUGGAGUCACACUAUCAAGAAUUUUGAGCAAUAAUAUUUCUUUUCAGAAAUGUAUGGAAAAAUGGAAAAUCAUGUAAUUCCACUGCUUAGAAGUAUUUAACUUAAAUAGCUGCUAGUGCAUUCGUUAUACAUAGUGUACAAAUGAUAAAGGCAGGACACAUGAAAAGGAAAAUGGGAAAGAUGAUUAUUAAACCACAAGUCCUCCUACAAUACGAUACUUGGACCAUCCUGCUUUUACUAUGAAUAAGCUUUUUCUUCUAUAUGGUAUUUCAUUAUACUGCAUUUUCUUGUUUAAUUUAUUUUUCAUGGUUAAUGGAUAUUGUGUGAAGGUGAAUUUUUUUAGAUUGUCCCGUAGAAUAGCUCAAUUGGUAAGAGUCGGGGACAUAUGGGUUGGGUAGGGGAGGUCCAGGGAUCGAUUCCUGGCGGGUGCAAUUUAUCUUUCCAAUGUACCCAAAAAAAAAAAGUUUUUUUAGAUUGACAAUGAUUAAAGUAGUUACUGUUCUAAUCUCAGGAAUUGACAGAAACUAAGGAAAAUGGUUCAGCCUUUGAGGACGACAAAUUCCUAUCAAAAGAUGGACGACCCAAAGAACUGUUUUUGUCCAGUGAUGCCAAUGCUGUGGUUGAGCAUACAAAGAAAGUUCUAGUUAUUGAGGAUAGUGAAGUUGUUCAUCUCAAGGUAGAUCCUGCACCCACUCUUUCCAAUGUAGUACUUGCAAGCUUUAUGUUCACUUGGCACCCUUCACAUUACUGAAAUAUAGUAAUCUGAUUCGGGUUCCAUAUGAAUAUAUUCCCUUUCCCUUUUCAGCAUGAGAUGAUACUGUAUACAUCAUUCACAGUGCUGUAGUUGCAUAUCUGUGUAAUCAUGUCGAAUUGAAAACAAAUAUUGUUCUUAUCUUGGAAAUGAUUCUGUCAGGAUGGUGGGGUUUCUAUUUUGAAGUUUGAUAAUGACAUAGGAGAGCUAGGAACUCCUCUUUCAAGAGCCUCUUCAGUGCGACGUGCAUUAUCCGUUUUAGAGAUGGAGGUUGAGCAAAUAAAUAAAGGACAUUAUGAGCAUUACAUGCAGAAGGAAAUUCAUGAGCAACCUGAGUCUCUGACAACCACAAUGAGGGGGAGGCUUAUAUGUCGUGGAUCUAGCAAAUCCAAGUCUGUUCUGCUCGGUGGAUUGAAGGAUCACCUUAAAACAAUUAGGCGAAGUAGAAGGAUAGUAUUCAUUGGUUGUGGUACAAGUUAUAAUGCUGCUUUGGCGGCUAGACCUAUCCUGGAAGAACUUUCU
This 3454-nucleotide long non-coding RNA is filed under the name Lotus japonicus. RNAcentral describes it as "long non-coding RNA (LJAP_LNC001145)". Lineage: Eukaryota; Viridiplantae; Streptophyta; Magnoliopsida; Fabales; Fabaceae. The record is from RNAcentral.